UUACCUACGGGGGGCAGCAGUGAGGAAUAUUGGUCAAUGGGCGGGAGCCUGAACCAGCCAAGCCGCGUGAGGGAAGAAGGUACAGCGUAUCGUAAACCUCUUUUGUCAGGGAACAAAGGCGGGGACUAGUCCCCGGAUGAGGGUACCUGAAGAAAAAGCAUCGGCUAACUCCGUGCCAGCAGCCGCGGUAAUACGUAGGUGGCAAGCGUUAUCCGGAAUUAUUGGGCGUAAAGAGCGCGCAGGUGGUUAAUUAAGUCUGAUGUGAAAGCCCACGGCUUAACCGUGGAGGGUCAUUGGAAACUGGU
Molecule: ribosomal RNA, 305 nt
Filed under: uncultured bacterium
Lineage: Bacteria
Description: bacterial SSU rRNA
Rfam family: Bacterial small subunit ribosomal RNA
Source: RNAcentral